GAUGAAGAACGUAGCGAAAUGCGAUAAGUAAUGUGAAUUGCAGAAUUCAGUGAAUCAUCGAAUCUUUGAACGCACAUUGCGCCCCCUGGUAUUCCGGGGGGUAUGCCUGUUCGAGCGUCAUUUCACCACUCAAGCCUCGCUUGGUAUUGGGCAACGCGGUCCGCCGCGUGCCUCAAAUCGACCGGCUGGGUCUUCUGUCCCCUAAGCGUUGUGGAAACUAUUCGCUAAAGGGUGUUCGGGAGGCUACGCCGUAAAACAACCCCAUUUCUAAGGUUGACCUCGGAUCAGGUAGGGAUACCCGCUGAACUUAAGCAUAUCAAUAAGCGGAGGA
This 331-nucleotide unclassified non-coding RNA is filed under the name soil metagenome. RNAcentral describes it as "partial contains 5.8S ribosomal RNA, internal transcribed spacer 2, and large subunit ribosomal RNA". The stretch from base 1 to 120 matches the Rfam family "5.8S ribosomal RNA", at positions 35 to 154 of the family's 154-position model. The record is from RNAcentral.